This 1444-nucleotide ribosomal RNA is filed under the name uncultured cyanobacterium. RNAcentral describes it as "bacterial SSU rRNA". It matches the Rfam family "Bacterial small subunit ribosomal RNA". The record is from RNAcentral. Lineage: Bacteria; Bacillati; Cyanobacteriota.
AGAGUUUGAUUCUGGCUCAGGAUGAACGCUGGCGGCGUGCUUAACACAUGCAAGUCGAACGAACCUUCGGGUUAGUGGCGGACGGGUGAGUAACGCGUGAGAAUCUGCCCUCAGGAGGGGGACAACAGCUGGAAACGGCUGCUAAUACCCCAUAUGCCGCGAGGUGAAAUGAAUUUCGCCUGAGGAUGAGCUCGCGUCUGAUUAGCUAGUUGGUGUAGGUAAUGGCUCACCAAGGCAUCGAUCAGUAGCUGGUCUGAGAGGAUGAUCAGCCACACUGGGACUGAGACACGGCCCAGACUCCUACGGGAGGCAGCAGUGGGGAAUUUUCCGCAAUGGGCGAAAGCCUGACGGAGCAACGCCGCGUGAGGGAUGAAGGCCUCUGGGCUGUAAACCUCUUUUAUCAAGGAAGAAGAUCUGACGGUACUUGAUGAAUAAGCCACGGCUAAUUCCGUGCCAGCAGCCGCGGUAAUACGGGAGUGGCAAGCGUUAUCCGGAAUUAUUGGGCGUAAAGCGUCCGCAGGCGGCCCUUCAAGUCUGCUGUUAAAAAGUGGAGCUUAACUCCAUCAUGGCAGUGGAAACUGUUGGGCUUGAGUGUGGUAGGGGCAGAGGGAAUUCCCGGUGUAGCGGUGAAAUGCGUAGAUAUCGGGAAGAACACCAGUGGCGAAGGCGCUCUGCUGGGCCAUCACUGACGCUCAUGGACGAAAGCCAGGGGAGCGAAAGGGAUUAGAUACCCCUGUAGUCCUGGCCGUAAACGAUGAACACUAGGUGUCGGGGGAAUCGACCCCCUCGGUGUCGUAGCCAACGCGUUAAGUGUUCCGCCUGGGGAGUACGCACGCAAGUGUGAAACUCAAAGGAAUUGACGGGGGCCCGCACAAGCGGUGGAGUAUGUGGUUUAAUUCGAUGCAACGCGAAGAACCUUACCAGGGUUUGACAUCCUGCGAAUCUCUUGGAAACGAGAGAGUGCCUUCGGGAACGCAGUGACAGGUGGUGCAUGGCUGUCGUCAGCUCGCGUCGUGAGAUGUUGGGUUAAGUCCCGCAACGAGCGCAACCCACGUCUUUAGUUGCCAGCAUUUAGUUGGGCACUCUAGAGAGACUGCCGGUGAUAAACCGGAGGAAGGUGUGGAUGACGUCAAGUCAUCAUGCCCCUUACAUCCUGGGCUACACACGUACUACAAUGCUACGGACAAAGGGCUGCAAGUUCGCGAGGACAAGCAAAUCCCAUAAACCGUGGCUCAGUUCAGAUCGUAGGCUGCAACUCGCCUACGUGAAGGCGGAAUCGCUAGUAAUCGCAGGUCAGCAUACUGCGGUGAAUACGUUCCCGGGCCUUGUACACACCGCCCGUCACACCAUGGAAGUUGGCCAUGCCCGAAGCCGUUACUCCAACCCUUGUGGAGGAGGACGUCGAAGGUGGGGCUGAUGACUGGGGUGAAGUCGUAACAAGGUA